RNAcentral lists this transfer RNA (74 nucleotides) under Nocardioides marmotae. It matches the Rfam family "tRNA". From Rfam's summary of the family: Transfer RNA (tRNA) molecules are approximately 80 nucleotides in length. Their secondary structure includes four short double-helical elements and three loops (D, anti-codon, and T loops). The record is from Rfam by way of RNAcentral. Lineage: Bacteria; Bacillati; Actinomycetota; Actinomycetes; Propionibacteriales; Nocardioidaceae. RNAcentral also lists the same sequence under 1 other name.
GCCCCCGUGUCCCAACCGGCAGAGGAAGCCGCCUUAAAAGCGGCGUGGUGCGGGUUCGAAUCCCGCCGGGGGCA